CAAGGAGUAGUUUAUUUAAAAUUUUAAUUUUGGAGAUUGAUGAACAAAGGUUAACUUUGCUCCUUGA
This 67-nucleotide transfer RNA is filed under the name unidentified. RNAcentral describes it as "Adiscus speciosus tRNA-Pro". The record is from RNAcentral.